GUGGUGAUGGAGGUGGCAAAUAAACUGGAGGUGGCGGUGAUGGUGGUGGUGGUGGUGGAGAGUACACUGGAGGUGGAGGUGGUGGAGAGUACGCUGGUGGUGGCGGUGGUGGAGGUGGUGGAGAGUACGCUGGUGGUGGCGGUGGUGGAGAGUACACUGGUGGAGGUGGUGGUGGAGAGUAUACCGGUGGAGGUGGUGGUGGUGGAGAAGGUGGUGGCGGUGAUGGUGGUGGAGGAGGUGGUGAAUACACUGGAGGAGGUGGUGGCGGCGGUGAAGGUGGUGGCGGUGAAGGAGGAGGUGGCGGUGGUGAAUAAACCGGUGGCGGAGGUGGAGGUGAUGAGAAUUGUGGCGGAG
RNAcentral lists this long non-coding RNA (354 nucleotides) under Cicer arietinum (chickpea). RNAcentral's name for it is "long non-coding RNA (CARI_LNC002630)". The record is from RNAcentral. Lineage: Eukaryota; Viridiplantae; Streptophyta; Magnoliopsida; Fabales; Fabaceae.